This 497-nucleotide ribosomal RNA is filed under the name uncultured bacterium. RNAcentral's name for it is "partial 16S ribosomal RNA". It matches the Rfam family "Bacterial small subunit ribosomal RNA", at positions 28 to 507 of the family's 1533-position model. The record is from RNAcentral.
GAUGAACGCUGGCGGCGUGCCUAAUACAUGCAAGUCGAGCGAACAGACGAGGAGCUUGCUCCUCUGACGUUAGCGGCGGACGGGUGAGUAACACGUGGAUAACCUACCUAUAAGACUGGGAUAACUUCGGGAAACCGGAGCUAAUACCGGAUAAUAUAUUGAACCGCAUGGUUCAAUAGUGAAAGACGGUUUUGCUGUCACUUAUAGAUGGAUCCUCGCCGCAUUAGCUAGUUGGUAAGGUAACGGCUUACCAAGGCAACGAUGCGUAGCCGACCUGAGAGGGUGAUCGGCCACACUGGAACUGAGACACGGUCCAGACUCCUACGGGAGGCAGCAGUAGGGAAUCUUCCGAAAUGGGCGAAAGCCUGAAGGAGCAACGCCGCGUGAGUGAUGAAGGUCUUCGGAUCGUAAAACUCUGUUAUUAGGGAAGAACAAAUGUGUAAGUAACUAUGCACGUCUUGACGGUACCUAAUCAGAAAGCCACGGCUAACUACGUG